This 250-nucleotide ribosomal RNA is filed under the name uncultured bacterium. RNAcentral describes it as "partial 16S ribosomal RNA". It matches the Rfam family "Bacterial small subunit ribosomal RNA", at positions 524 to 776 of the family's 1533-position model. The record is from RNAcentral.
UACAGAGGAUGCAAGCGUUAUCCGGAAUGAUUGGGCGUGAAGCGUCUGUAGGUGGCUUUUUAAGUCCGCCGUCAAAUCCCAGGGCUCAACUCUGGACAGGCGGUGGAAACUACCAAGCUGGAGUACGGUAGGGGCAGAGGGAAUUUCCGGUGGAGCGGUGAAAUGCGUAGAGAUCGAAAAGAACACCAACGGCGAAAGCACUCUGGGACGGUACUGACGCUGAGACGCGAAAGCGUGGGGAGCGAACAGG